This 458-nucleotide ribosomal RNA is filed under the name uncultured Allobrachymonas sp. RNAcentral describes it as "bacterial SSU rRNA". It matches the Rfam family "Bacterial small subunit ribosomal RNA", at positions 919 to 1382 of the family's 1533-position model. Lineage: Bacteria; Pseudomonadati; Pseudomonadota; Betaproteobacteria; Burkholderiales; Comamonadaceae. The record is from RNAcentral.
ACCCGCACAAGCGGUGGAUGAUGUGGUUAAUUCGAUGCAACGCGAAAAACCUUACCCACCUUUGACAUGGCAGGAAUCCCGAAGAGAUUUGGGAGUGCUCGAAAGAGAACCUGCACACAGGUGCUGCAUGGCUGUCGUCAGCUCGUGUCGUGAGAUGUUGGGUUAAGUCCCGCAACGAGCGCAACCCUUGCCAUUAGUUGCUACGAAAGGGCACUCUAAUGGGACUGCCGGUGACAAACCGGAGGAAGGUGGGGAUGACGUCAAGUCCUCAUGGCCCUUAUAGGUGGGGCUACACACGUCAUACAAUGGCCGGUACAGAGGGUAGCCAACCCGCGAGGGGGAGCCAAUCCCACAAAGCCGGUCGUAGUCCGGAUCGCAGUCUGCAACUCGACUGCGUGAAGUCGGAAUCGCUAGUAAUCGCGGAUCAGCAUGUCGCGGUGAAUACGUUCCCGGGUCUU